AGUGGCGAACGGGUGAGUAAUACAUCGGAACGUGCCCUGUAGUGGGGGAUAACUAGUCGAAAGAUUAGCUAAUACCGCAUACGACCUGAGGGUGAAAGUGGGGGACCGCAAGGCCUCAUGCUAUAGGAGCGGCCGAUGUCUGAUUAGCUAGUUGGUGAGGUAAAGGCUCACCAAGGCGACGAUCAGUAGCUGGUCUGAGAGGACGAUCAGCCACACUGGGACUGAGACACGGCCCAGACUCCUACGGGAGGCAGCAGUGGGGAAUUUUGGACAAUGGGCGAAAGCCUGAUCCAGCAAUGCCGCGUGUGUGAAGAAGGCCUUCGGGUUGUAAAGCACUUUUGUCCGGAAAGAAAUGGCUCUGGUUAAUACCUGGGGUCGAUGACGGUACCGGAAGAAUAAGGACCGGCUAACUACGUGCCAGCAGCCGCGGUAAUACGUAGGGUCCAAGCGUUAAUCGGAAUUACUGGGCGUAAAGCGUGCGCAGGCGGUUGUGCAAGACCGAUGUGAAAUCCCCGAGCUUAACCUGGGAAUUGCAUUGGUGACUGCACGGCUAGAGUGUGUCAGAGGGGGGUAGAAUUCCACGUGUAGCAGUGAAAUGCGUAGAGAUGUGGAGGAAUACCGAUGGCGAAGGCAGCCCCCUGGGAUAACACUGACGCUCAUGCACGAAAGCGUGNGGAGCAAACAGGAUUAGAUACCCUGGUAGUCCACGCCCUAAACGAUGUCAACUAGUUGUUGGGGAUUCAUUUCCUUAGUAACGUANCUAACGCGUGAAGUUGANCGCCUGGGGAGUACGGUCGCNAGAUUAAAACUCAAANGAAUUGACGGGGACCCGCACAAGCGGNGGAUGAUGUGGAUUAAUUCGAUGC
RNAcentral lists this ribosomal RNA (866 nucleotides) under uncultured Ralstonia sp. Its description in RNAcentral is "bacterial SSU rRNA". It matches the Rfam family "Bacterial small subunit ribosomal RNA", at positions 94 to 957 of the family's 1533-position model. The record is from RNAcentral. Lineage: Bacteria; Pseudomonadati; Pseudomonadota; Betaproteobacteria; Burkholderiales; Burkholderiaceae.